Cyanistes caeruleus (blue tit) is the source of this 3768-nucleotide non-coding RNA. Lineage: Eukaryota; Metazoa; Chordata; Aves; Passeriformes; Paridae. The record is from RefSeq and is a predicted model, not a curated record.
CAGCCGCGCUGGAGCCUGCGGGGGGCCCGGGGCCGCUGCGUGCGAAGGGGACGGCGCCCUUGCGUGGCUGGGAUGCGACGGUCAGACUCCAGGGCCAGGCUGUUUCACACCGCCCGGGCGGGAGCAGGGAAGCCACCACCAGCGCUGUCUCACCUUUUCUGAGGCUGGAUUUAUCAUAGAAUUAGGUUGGAAAAUAUUUUCGGGAUCGCCGGGACCAACCUAUGACCCAACACUACCAUGUCAACCAGACCAAGGCACCGAGUGCCGCAUCCAGUCUACUCAAACACCUCCAAGGAUGGUGACUCCACCGCAUCCCUGGGCAGCCCAGUCAAGUGUCCAAUCACCCAUUCUCUGAAGAAGUGCUUCCUAAUGACCAGUCUGAAUCCCCCCUGGUGCAUCUUACAACUGUCCUCUUGUCCUGAGCCCUGGGAGAAGAGCCCGACCCCCACCUGGUUCCAGCUUCCUCCCAGGGAGUUGCAGGGAGCGAUAAGGUCACCCCCGAGCCUCCUCCAGGAUAAUUCACUCUGAGCUUUAGGAGCUGUGCUCUUUGGGUUGUUCCAUGUAAUUACUUUGACAGCUGCUGGCUGGUGUCCACCAGGUUUCAUGGAUCACACAGCCCUUGGCAUAUGCCUGGCACUGUGUGAAUAACCAGGUGUGUUUGGGGUCCUCUGCUGGGGCAGCAAACGUGGCUGCUGGCCCGUGUGUGAUGAGGACAGAAUAGCCACCAGCAAAGGUGCACUGAGAUGAGACCAGAUGCUAGUCUAAACUCACUCAUUCCCCAACAAAUCAAAUGGGCAUGUUUCAAUAAUGACAAAACAAAAGUGAAAGUUUGCAAACCACAUUAGUAACCCUACAGUGAGGUUCCUAUUUUAAAACUACUUUCUUUACCAAUACAAGGACAAUUUUCUCCCUGUACCACCCUUAAACUUCACUGUUUUCGUACCAGAUCACACAGUUUUAGUCUGUUGGCUCAAAUCUCAAAUGAAAGCAGCUUAUUUUCUCACUAAUGCCUUUUAAUUUCUCCUUUCAUCUGUUACUACUUCACUAUCCAAGUGCCUGUAGCACAGUAGCAUUGGGAUAGAGGUAACACACCUCACAUUCUGGACUCUGCUGAGCUCUACUCAGGAGCAAGGGGAUCAGGAAGAUGAUGCUGGAUAAAAUCAGUGCCCUCCAGCCUCAACUCUGCCUUCUCCAAGCAAUUUUAAGUGGAUACCUAUGCCAACCCUGGAUAUCAGAGGGGCAUCACCUCACUCCCUAUUCCGGUGAUUCACGUGAGGAAAAAGGAUCUCUUGGAUCUUAGAACGAAGAGUAAAUUGCUGUUGCUGGAGAUUAAUUCCACCCUUUCAGCCUCCAGGCUUUCUUCUUUGUGCUUCAAGCAAAGCUCAGCCAAGCCAAGCGCUCGAGCUCUCUGAGUCGAGCAGUGCCACAGCAAGGGGUACAGGAUUAACUGUGGCUCUGGGGCUGAGGAAGAGGGAGAACUGGCAAAAAGGGAAAAACUGUUUUUAGAGCAGACUCGAGACAGGAAGAGGGGGGGUCAGAAGGUGGGGUUGGCAUGGAGAUGUGGCAGAGGAAGGAAGGAGCAGUGGCCAGAGCGGCCAUAGCAGGCGAGGUCACCUGUUUGGUGAGGUAGUUUUUCUCUGAACAUAAAAGCUCAAGAAAAACUGAUGUCCCGGAGAACCUUUCCUGAGCAUCCUCCUCUCAGCGAAAUCUGGCUGUUGGCAGGAACUGCCAAGGUUGUGCACCAUCAACAGGUCUGGCUAAAGCCUCACAAGGGAUGGAAGAUCUGUGUGUUUGAAUACACAGCUUGGCAUCUGCAAGUCAUUAGCUUGGCCUGUCAGGAAAAAACUGUUCCCAGUCAGGCUUUUGCAGAGCAAAGCAUGGGAACAUCUCAACCCUGACUGACUAUGCACAAGUAAAGCACACAGAAGAUGAUACAUUAAUCUGAAUAAUUUCCAUAGAGUCCUUAUCCUGUAUAAACAGAGUGCACAGUAUUACAAGCUGCUACACAGUUUAACAGCUUAUGAUAGCAUCUACUGUAAUGCAGAGAACUAGUGAUUAUUUAAUUAGAGGCUGUCUAAAGGUUUGUGAUAAGUGCUUACAUGUGUAAUUUCCAUUUUUCUAGUUCUUCCAAAAUGUUUAUCUUUUGACCCUAAAAUUCUCUUAACCUUUUGUAAAUGUUUUAAAGAAAAAAGAUAAGCAUUUUUCAUUUACAUAAACAGGAUUUCAAGUAUUGUAUACAAAUAUAUUAGUUAAGAUUCCUAAGGGAAAAAAAAUCAUAUUAUUCUUUAUUUUCAGGUGAACCUGGGCCCAAGAGGUUAAAUAAAUCACACAAGGUCACUGAGGGAGAUAGUGGCAGAGUCAGAAGUGUGAUUGCAGCUCCAACCCUCCCAGCUCUCCUGGUGAACUUAAAUCGUAUCUGUUAUUCAAGAAUUUGCAUGGCUAACAAGCCACUUAACACUUGACAUUGCGUCUUUUUCUUGUCCCACUGACUCCCGUAAGACACGGAAGCAGUAAAACAUUGUCAGAGGGGCAGCGUGCAGUGAAUGCGUUAGUGAAAGCUGCAGCCAGAGAUAAAACAGAUCCAUAGGAGGAAAAUCCAGACAGUGCAAAGGGAUGCCAAAGUGCAGGAAUGAGGUGUUUCAGAAUGAGGAGGAGAGAUGAGGAGACAAAGAGGUGUGGACAGUGUCAGAGGUUGAAGAGAUGGGAAGGACAGGUGACAGAGGAGUGCCCACGGUGCCAGACCGCUCAGAAAUGCCAGCGAGGUGCUGCUGCAUGAGCAAAACAGAGAAGCCAUGCACUUGCUGAAUGUGUCAUCAGCCAGCUGAAAGCAAAGCCCAACAGCAAAUGCUCAGAGAUGAGUUAGGACAGGAUUUACCUCACCGAAGUUCAGUGAGCUGGAAAUUGCCCUCUGUGAAGAAGCUCUUUGUUGCUAUUUCUCCUCAGUCACUUCAGGGAGCAGACGUGUCCAGCUGCAUUUAUACGCCUCGGCUUUGGAUGACUAAAGGUGGAAGGCACGAUGGACCCCAGAGUCUGAAGGGAAUUGCAUGGAACCAGGCAGCACUGUGCAGCAUCUCUGCACUUCUGCAGCACCUCUCCUGUGGCCCCAUUCACCUCCCACUGGAUCAGGGAAGAACUGCCUUAAAGGAUGUUUGUCUUUCUGUGUAAAGGGAAAAGAAAGAGCCUCUCACCCAUAUUGCCCCUGGGGAGGACUGUGCACCCACUGCAGGUGAUACCAACCCAGAGCUGUCUUGGUAAGCAAAGCCUACACCCUUGGAGAGGUCUCAGUGCAUUUGGGGAUGCAGUAGGAAAUACUGGAUGUGCUCAUGCUGUUCAAUGCUUGUGGGGUGGGGUACAGUAAUAAGCAUCCCCUCACCAUCAACCUGGAGGCUCCAGGAUCAGAGAUCCAUUACUGUACUGCACAUUUUCCUAGGAAAUGUUCUCUGAAGAGUUUGCUCAGCUUGGAGAAAGACAGCUUCCCACGCCAGAACUUUUGGGAAGUGGGAAGCGGGAAGCUUUUCCCCCAGCCUGUAUGCCCAGAAGGAACUCAGGCUGGAUACCAGGUGUCUGUUACAAAUAUUGGGCACCAAAUUAAACACCCACACAUCCUGAAAGAACCAGCAACACGACAUGAAGAAUUAUUCAUUUUGCCAGCAGUAAAAUGACAAAGCAGAGGAGUGACGAAUGCUCUAGAUGAACCCAGAGCUCCAAUUUAAUGCAUGGGAUAAGGACCUCUUUUUCCAAAUAAAGACUCCCAACUCUUGCAGUUUC